AAAAGCUAUAAAAAAAGACUUUUAUUUUGGCGUGGUGUGUGACGUCAUCAGGUGGCGCCGCUUCAGCGCUUUGAUUCAACUGGAGAAAGGAUAAAGUGUCCAAACACAGAGAAAAACUCCUGCUGAAGUGACUGAUCUCCACACUGUUAUUAAGAUGGCGUUCAUUAAAGAGGAGAGUGAAGAUGUGAAGAUUGAAGAAACAUUCACAGUCAAACAGGAAGAUCUGCAGGAACAAACAGACCUAAUUGGAGAGAAGGAGGGGAGUAAAGAGGAGGAACAUCAUGUUAAAAUUGAGGACAAAACUCAUUUACAGACUGAUGGUAUUUUGAAAAGGAGAGACGGGAAUCGUUUCACUUGCACUCAGUGUGGAAAGAUUUUGGGAAGCAAAAGCAAACUUAAGAUUCACAUGAGCAUCCACACAGGAGAGAAACCAUUUACAUGCACUCAGUGUGGGAAGAGUUUCAGCAAAUCAUCAUCCCUUAAUCAACACAUGAGGAUCCACACUGGAGAGAAACCAUUCACAUGCACUCUGUGUGGGAAGAGUUUCAGCCAAUCAUCAUCUCUUAAUAAGCACAUGAGGAUCCACACUGGAGAGAAACCAUUCACAUGCACUCAGUGUGGGAAGAGUUUCAACCGAUCAGAACACCUUAAUCUACACAUGAGGAUCCAUACCGGAGAGAAAUCAUUCACUUGCACUGAGUGUGAGAAGAGUUUUACCUGCUCAUCAAACCUUAAUCUACACAUGAGGAAACACACUGGAGAGAAACCAUACGCAUGCACUCAGUGUGGGAAGAUUUUCAGCCAAUCAUCAUGCCUUAAUCUACAC
RNAcentral lists this long non-coding RNA (826 nucleotides) under Danio rerio (zebrafish). RNAcentral describes it as "lncRNA si:dkey-146c18.6 (ENSDARG00000101682.3)". Lineage: Eukaryota; Metazoa; Chordata; Actinopteri; Cypriniformes; Danionidae. The record is from RNAcentral.